Molecule: long non-coding RNA, 704 nt
Filed under: Populus trichocarpa (black cottonwood)
Lineage: Eukaryota; Viridiplantae; Streptophyta; Magnoliopsida; Malpighiales; Salicaceae
Description: long non-coding RNA (PTRI_LNC000218)
Source: RNAcentral
GUACUUUUUCACCACAACUUUGUAGAAGUACCAACAAAUGUAGAGGUCAUUCCAUGCUCUGCAUAUGCUAUAUUAACCAUUGAACAACAAAAAAGAGAAAAUAAAAAAACCUUUAGAGAAAUCCUCUGUAUAAAACCCAUCUUUUCAAUCUUCAAAGUUCAAAGCUAUAUCACUAUCAGUUGCAAUUCGCGAAGAAGAGCAGAGGAGCAAAAGACUUCAAGGCAACCCAUACCGGUUCAGAUCUGCGAGCAGAGUAGAUAAUCCUUCCUCCAGCUUCUCAUGACUCUCCUUCUUUCUCUUGCUCUCUCUAUUACAUUGUUCAUGCCGAUUAUGAUCUCUUAAACCACAAACAAACGGUGAAGACGAAACAAUCUCGAUCUGGGAAGAAGCCAUAAGUCUAAUAAUGAGACAUCACGACAUAGAAUAAAGUAAAUGCAACAAUUUUAUGCAUACCAUAAACGAGAUACAACCCAUUUUUCCAGAAAAAAAAGGAUGUAUGGGGGCAGGGAAAACCCAAGCGGUAAUUGUGGACCACAAAGAAACGUAUGAAUCUUGUUUUCAGGAUGCUAAACUAACCAGGGUUAGUAACCGGUGGUUAGUAACCACCACCAGCAAUAUAAGUCAUGCCUUGGCUUUUAUUUUCUAAUUUUAGGACUUUAUUGUAGAAAACUGUUGUGUUGCCUUAAAAACGAAUGGCAUGCCUU